UGCGUAGGCGGACUAAUAAGUCAGUGGUGAAAUCUCUCGGCUCAACCGGGAAACUGCCAUUGAUACUGUUAGUCUUGAGUUCGGUUGAGGUAGGCGGAAUGUGUAAUGUAGCGGUGAAAUGCUUAGAUAUUACACAGAACACCAAUUGCGUAGGCAGCUUACUAGACCGACACUGACACUGAGGCACGAAAGCGUGGGUAGCGAACAGGAUUAGAUACCCUGGUAGUCC
This 229-nucleotide ribosomal RNA is filed under the name uncultured bacterium. RNAcentral's name for it is "partial 16S ribosomal RNA". It matches the Rfam family "Bacterial small subunit ribosomal RNA", at positions 568 to 796 of the family's 1533-position model. The record is from RNAcentral.